This 214-nucleotide ribosomal RNA is filed under the name Eciton vagans. RNAcentral describes it as "partial large subunit ribosomal RNA". The record is from RNAcentral. Lineage: Eukaryota; Metazoa; Arthropoda; Insecta; Hymenoptera; Formicidae.
GAAUUUUAUAAAUGUUAAGUUAAAAUUUAUUAAUAUUAAUAUUUCUUUGGUUGGGGGGACAUUUAAAUUAAAUUAACUUUAAAUUAGUUAAUAACAUUAAUUAAUGAGUAAUUAAUUGAUUUUAAUGAUUAAGAUUAUAUUUAUAAUAGAAUAAAUUACCUUAGGGAUAACAGCGUUAUAUUUUUGGAGAGUUCGUAUUGAUAAAAAUGUUUGU